CUCUUCCCGGCAUGGGUUUCUGCCCAGCUCACCCGCUGUCAGCUGGGGUCCUGCUCUGGUGGGAGGAAGAGGCUCAGACGCUUCCCUGCCCUCUCGCCUCAACCACCUCGAGGCAGCGGCUCCCAGGAUGUGCACUUUGACGACUAAAGCUGAGCCGGCGCCGCCACGACCUUGGGCGGGUGGUCGGCCUCUGCCCUGAGCAGGAAGUAGAAAGUCUCAGCAGACCCUUCCUGAGGGCCGAGCAACAGUGUAGUGGCGUAUUCCACAUAGCAAACAGGUCCCCAGACAGUCCCGGUGUGCACACUUCCCUGCUUCUGUUCAUGAUGUUCUCUGAACCUGGGAUCACCUUUCCCCUUCCUCUUACCUGCCCGAUCCUACUUGUCCUCCCAGAUUCAGUUUUCUGAAGCUCAGAGGGACACCUUGUAUUGCUGGAUGAUAAAAACAGGAGCAAAGUGAUGAAGUGCUGACAAGGCAACAAUAGAACAUGAGAGAUUCACUGCUGUGUAGGAAGAGAUCUUCGGUGACCAUGUAGCCUGAAGCUCUCAUUUUGUCAUCGAGGGACACCAAAACUCAGAACAGUGCUAAGCUCCUACAUCCUGUUCUGGAAGGACAAUCCUGAGCACACGAUGAGCCAUAUAAACUUCAGACUGACGCUGAGUGAAAGAAUGCUGGAAAAGCAUCACAGGCCAGGGCAGCAAAGUCUUCAAGGUCAUCCGUGCUCU
RNAcentral lists this long non-coding RNA (722 nucleotides) under Homo sapiens (human). RNAcentral's name for it is "non-protein coding lnc-F3-7:4". Lineage: Eukaryota; Metazoa; Chordata; Mammalia; Primates; Hominidae. The record is from RNAcentral.